Molecule: non-coding RNA, 2270 nt
Organism: Ictidomys tridecemlineatus (thirteen-lined ground squirrel)
Lineage: Eukaryota; Metazoa; Chordata; Mammalia; Rodentia; Sciuridae
Source: RefSeq, a predicted model, not a curated record
AGAACCACUCAGAGUUUAUCAAAAUCAGGAAGCCUCCUGCCAACCUGGAAGCUGAUUCUAUGAUGCCAGCUCAAGUCUACCCUGUCAUCUAUCAUCUGGACCCCCAAACUAGACACUGCCAGCCUGCCUCACUAUCAAGACCUUCCAAAUUGAAGCAGUUGCAGCCUAUUCAGUUCUAUAGUAUUCCAGCUUCUCUGAAGACCUCAUCACGGUGAAGGAUGCAACACCCACAGCUCUGUUAAAUGGAACUCACAAGAUUUCUCCACCACUAUCUGAAGUCAAAUUAUAAACUAAUUUGUAUUUAUGUCAGAAAAAUGUCUUCAAAUGUGAGUUUGCCUAAAUACAAUGGAAGGAAAGCUUGAGCAUUCAACUGCACCACUACAGUUCACUACAUGCUUGCUGACUUAGUGAAUAUUUUGGACCACUGAGAGACUAGCAGAAGAAUUUAAAAUUCAGAUAUCAAAAAACAAGACAUUUUAGGCUUCCUGAACAAGGUUUGAAAUCAUUUUGCAUUUGUCUGAAAAUUUAAGAUGAAAAGCACAAUCAAAAAUUGCAAGGGCAAGCUCUCUGUCACAACAAAACUCUGCAUGGAAAGCAAGUGGGAACUAAUGAUUGUUUCUCCUUUACAGCAACAAGGGGAGGUAGGGAGUCCUUUAAGCUUUCUGGCAGGUUUAUUUUGGUGGACUCAAUGCUUUUAGUACAUCAUUCUAGGUGAGGGAAAUUCCUAGUAAAAUAUGUUCAGAAGAUUUUCUUUGAGCACUAAGAAUAUUAUUGCUGGGCACAUGCAAAUGUUUGGAAUUACAUUCUUUUUUAAAAGAUAUAUUUUCUGGUCAUAAUGUAUUUUAAUGAUAAGAAGGAACAGUGAGAAUCAAUCUUGCUGUCUCAGUUCAGAAGCAGCAAUCACAUGACUGUCCAUAUUAAUGGUCAAACUCACCCGUGAGUGUAAACUAACAGUUUUUGUUUGUUUCUUGCCAAAUGAACCAGAUUUAAAUGUAUUGAAUUGGAUGAAAUGAAGUAAUCAAAUGGUUGAAAUAGUACGUUGGCAGUCAAAUAAAGGAUAGUAUUUUCAUUGCAACUGAAGAGUAUUCUGUUAGUUUAAGCUUUUGUAUGUAGUUUUCCCCAAAACUCAAUAAAUAUAAAUAGUAAAUGUAAAUGUAAAUAUUUAAAUAGUGUUAAAAAUGUGAGGGGGUGAAAUUCCAAUGUACUUUAAAAAGUGUUUUAUUGUUAUACAAUUUUGAUUGUUUUUGUUAUAAACUUUUGUCACUUAACAUUUCAUUGGUAUUUCAUAAAUGCUUUUAAAUACUGUAAGAUUGAACAUUUGAAGAUAAGAUAAUCAUAAUGCAAACCCACCUUUUAUUCAUCUUCUAAAAUACAAUACAUUUUCCCUCACAUUAUAUAUAUGCUUUUAUAGACUAUGACAAGGUUUAGGACACUCAUUUGCUGCUUAGGUCAGACAUCUGGAGGCUUCCUGAAUAGCAAUACAGUUUCACUGAACUUCAGAAAAUUCAUAUCUUCUCACUAAGAUGUAAGCAUGGUUGCUUUCCAACACUUGACUUUCCCCCCACAUUUCUCUCUGAAGUGAGGGGAGACCCUGGGGAAAUACCAAGGAUGGCUUCUCCUAGAGCAAAGACCUGAGACCUAUGGCAAGCAUGCUGAACAGCUUCCUUGUCCCUGUUUUCAAGACCAAACACUUGUAUCAAUCCUUCAUAAACUAACCACACUAAUUGUGAGGAAAAUCAAACCCCAAUGAAGAACACUUCAAGGAAAAAUUUAAAAGAACUUUGAUUUUGCCAGAGUAUUAAGAAAAUAAAAUAAAAUUACUCACUGUAGUCUUUCUGAAGAAGUGCUCAAUGUCCCAAGCACAAGGUCCCCACCUGCCAAUUUAACAAAGAUCUCAGGGUGAAGAGAGGCAGGUCUUUAUUAUAAGCAGGAGGCCUCACUCAUUCACUUGCUAAUGUGUGCUCCAAAUUUCUAAGAAGAAACUAUUCUUAAUCUGAGUUCACUCAGAUUUUUAUGAAUUUUUGCUAGGAUCUAUUAUUCCUCACACCAAAAGUAUUCAUCUCGUCAAUAGGAUCAAUGUGAGGACUAAUAUCAAUAUUGAGAUCCAUGCCUCUAGGUAGAGAGCAAUGAAUGUAACAUUUCCAAAUGUAAUACACUUGCAAUAGGUAAACCUUAAUUUUACUUCAAAUCCAUAGAUGAUCAACUAAUUUCACCAUUUACAGCUUUAAAUAGAGCCAAUGAAUACAGGAACAUUAUGAGAAAUAUUUAAA